RNAcentral lists this ribosomal RNA (225 nucleotides) under Pichia membranifaciens. RNAcentral describes it as "partial 26S rRNA". It matches the Rfam family "Eukaryotic large subunit ribosomal RNA", at positions 1623 to 1848 of the family's 3401-position model. Lineage: Eukaryota; Fungi; Ascomycota; Pichiomycetes; Pichiales; Pichiaceae. The record is from RNAcentral.
ACUUGGAUGUGGAUUCUUCACGGCAACGUAACAGAAUGCGGAGACGCCGGCGGGAGCCCUGGGAGGAGUUUUCUNUUCUUCUUAACAGCCUAUCACCCUGGAAUUGGUUUAUCCGGAGAGGGGGUNUUAUGGCUGGAAGAGGUNGCCCUUGUUGCGACGUCCGGUGCGCUUGCGACGGUCCUUGAAAAUCCGCAGGAAGGAAUAGUUUUCACGCCAAGUCGUACU